Pygocentrus nattereri (red-bellied piranha) is the source of this 226-nucleotide long non-coding RNA. RefSeq lists it as uncharacterized. NCBI's taxonomy places the organism in Eukaryota, Metazoa, Chordata, Actinopteri, Characiformes, Serrasalmidae. The transcript has 3 exons. The record is from RefSeq and is a predicted model, not a curated record.
GGCGCCACCAUUUAAGUUAUGCACUGUCAGAUGAUGCCCGAAUGGAUAUGGAGGCAUUUGUACAUGCACUGGAAUUGGAACCACAGAAGGAGAAAGAUGCAUAACUGAAAGAGGUAGAACAGCCAUUAAAAGAAGACAAAAGAGAGGAUUUGGAAAACACUGAGGCCCCGAUCCCUCCCUGAAGGUGGAUCCGUCCAACAGGGACAAGAAGCCCCCUUUACCUCCC